AGAGUUUGAUCAUGGCUCAGAUUGAACGCUGGCGGCAGGCCUAACACAUGCAAGUCGAGCGGUAGCACAGAGAGCUUGCUCUCGGGUGACGAGCGGCGGACGGGUGAGUAAUGUCUGGGAAACUGCCUGAUGGAGGGGGAUAACUACUGGAAACGGUAGCUAAUACCGCAUAACGUCGCAAGACCAAAGUGGGGGACCUUCGGGCCUCAUGCCAUCAGAUGUGCCCAGAUGGGAUUAGCUAGUAGGUGGGGUAAUGGCUCACCUAGGCGACGAUCCCUAGCUGGUCUGAGAGGAUGACCAGCCACACUGGAACUGAGACACGGUCCAGACUCCUACGGGAGGCAGCAGUGGGGAAUAUUGCACAAUGGGCGCAAGCCUGAUGCAGCCAUGCCGCGUGUGUGAAGAAGGCCUUCGGGUUGUAAAGCACUUUCAGCGGGGAGGAAGGCGNNNNNNNNNNNNNUAAGGUUAAUAACCUUGGCGAUUGACGUUACCCGCAGAAGAAGCACCGGCUAACUCCGUGCCAGCAGCCGCGGUAAUACGGAGGGUGCAAGCGUUAAUCGGAAUUACUGGGCGUAAAGCGCACGCAGGCGGUCUGUCAAGUCGGAUGUGAAAUCCCCGGGCUCAACCUGGGAACUGCAUUCGAAACUGGCAGGCUAGAGUCUUGUAGAGGGGGGUAGAAUUCCAGGUGUAGCGGUGAAAUGCGUAGAGAUCUGGAGGAAUACCGGUGGCGAAGGCGGCCCCCUGGACAAAGACUGACGCUCAGGUGCGAAAGCGUGGGGAGCAAACAGGAUUAGAUACCCUGGUAGUCCACGCCGUAAACGAUGUCGAUUUGGAGGUUGUGCCCUUGAGGCGUGGCUUCCGGAGCUAACGCGUUAAAUCGACCGCCUGGGGAGUACGGCCGCAAGGUUAAAACUCAAAUGAAUUGACGGGGGCCCGCACAAGCGGUGGAGCAUGUGGUUUAAUUCGAUGCAACGCGAAGAACCUUACCUGGUCUUGACAUCCACAGAACUUUCCAGAGAUGGAUUGGUGCCUUCGGGAACUGUGAGACAGGUGCUGCAUGGCUGUCGUCAGCUCGUGUUGUGAAAUGUUGGGUUAAGUCCCGCAACGAGCGCAACCCUUAUCCUUUGUUGCCAGCGGUUAGGCCGGGAACUCAAAGGAGACUGCCAGUGAUAAACUGGAGGAAGGUGGGGAUGACGUCAAGUCAUCAUGGCCCUUACGACCAGGGCUACACACGUGCUACAAUGGCAUAUACAAAGAGAAGCGACCUCGCGAGAGCAAGCGGACCUCAUAAAGUAUGUCGUAGUCCGGAUUGGAGUCUGCAACUCGACUCCAUGAAGUCGGAAUCGCUAGUAAUCGUAGAUCAGAAUGCUACGGUGAAUACGUUCCCGGGCCUUGUACACACCGCCCGUCACACCAUGGGAGUGGGUUGCAAAAGAAGUAGGUAGCUUAACCUUCGGGAGGGCGCUUACCACUUUGUGAUUCAUGACUGGGGUGAAGUCGUAACAAGGUAACCGUAGGGGAACCUGCGGUUGGAUCACCU
This 1540-nucleotide ribosomal RNA is filed under the name Klebsiella pneumoniae. Its description in RNAcentral is "bacterial SSU rRNA". It matches the Rfam family "Bacterial small subunit ribosomal RNA". The record is from RNAcentral. Lineage: Bacteria; Pseudomonadati; Pseudomonadota; Gammaproteobacteria; Enterobacterales; Enterobacteriaceae.